Molecule: ribosomal RNA, 717 nt
Filed under: Phyllactinia salmonii
Lineage: Eukaryota; Fungi; Ascomycota; Leotiomycetes; Helotiales; Erysiphaceae
Also listed under: 3 other names
Description: eukaryotic LSU rRNA
Rfam family: Eukaryotic large subunit ribosomal RNA
Source: RNAcentral
AGUAACGGCGAGUGAAGCGGUAACAGCUCAAAUUUGAAAUCUGGCUCCCUGCGGAGUCCGAGUUGUAAUUUGUAGAAGAUGCUUUGGGUGCACGAUCCGGCCUAAGUGCCUUGGAACAGGACGUCGUAGAGGGUGAGAAUCCCGUAUGCGGCCGGUUUCGACGCCCGUGUAAAGCUCUUUCGACGAGUCGAGUUGUUUGGGAAUGCAGCUCAAAAUGGGUGGUAAAUUUCAUCUAAAGCUAAAUAUGGGCCAGAGACCGAUAGCGCACAAGUAGAGUGAUCGAAAGAUGAAAAGCACUUUGGAAAGAGAGUUAAACAGUACGUGAAAUUGUUGAAAGGGAAGCGCUUGCAACCAGACUUGGGCGUCGCUGAUCAUCCAAAGUUCUCUUUGGUGCACUCGACGACGCACAGGCCAGCAUCGGUUGGGGUGGUGGGAGAAAGACUGCAGGAACGUAGCUCUUUUCGGAGAGUGUUAUAGCCUGCGGUGCAAUACCGCCUACCUCGACCGAGGACCGCGCUUCGGCUAGGAUGCUGGCGUAAUGGUUGUAAGCGACCCGUCUUGAAACACGGACCAAGGAGUCUAACAUCUAUGCGAGUGUUUGGGUGCGAAACCCAUGCGCGAAAUGAAAGUGAACGUAGGUGAGAACCCUUUAAGGGGGCAUCAUCGACCGAUCCUGAUGUCUUCGGAUGGAUUUGAGUAAGAGCAUAGCUGUUGGGA